GAUGAACGCUAGCUACAGGCUUAACACAUGCAAGUCGAGGGGAAACGAUAGAGAAAGCUUGCUUUUUCUAGGCGUCGACCGGCGCACGGGUGAGUAACGCGUAUCCAACCUGCCCAUCACUUGGGGAUAACCUUGCGAAAGUAAGACUAAUACCCAAUGACGUCUCUAGAAGACAUCUGAAAGGGAUUAAAGAUUUAUCGGUGAUGGAUGGGGAUGCGUCUGAUUAGCUUGUUGGCGGGGUAACGGCCCACCAAGGCGACGAUCAGUAGGGGUUCUGAGAGGAAGGUCCCCCACAUUGGAACUGAGACACGGUCCAAACUCCUACGGGAGGCAGCAGUGAGGAAUAUUGGUCAAUGGACGAGAGUCUGAACCAGCCAAGUAGCGUGCAGGAUGACGGCCCUAUGGGUUGUAAACUGCUUUUAUAAGGGAACAAAGUGAGAGUCGUGACUCUUUUUGCCUGUACCUUAUGAAUAAGGACCGGCUAAUUCCGUGCCAGCAGCCGCGGUAA
RNAcentral lists this ribosomal RNA (508 nucleotides) under uncultured bacterium. Its description in RNAcentral is "partial 16S ribosomal RNA". It matches the Rfam family "Bacterial small subunit ribosomal RNA", at positions 28 to 523 of the family's 1533-position model. The record is from RNAcentral.